GUGGGGAAUCUUGGACAAUGGGCGAAAGCCUGAUCCAGCCAUGCCGCGUGGAUGAUGAAGGCCCUAGGGUUGUAAAAUCCUUUCGUUGGGGACGAUAAUGACGGUACCCAAAGAAGAAGCUCCGGCUAACUUCGUGCCAGCAGCCGCGGUAAUACGAAGGGGGCUAGCGUUGUUCGGAUUUACUGGGCGUAAAGCGCGUGUAGGCGGAUUUGUAAGUUGGGGGUGAAAUCCCGAGGCUCAACCUCGGAACUGCCUCCAAAACUACAAAUCUGGACUCAAGUAGAGGCAAGUGGAAUUGCGAGUGUAGAGGUGAAAUUCGUAGAUAUUCGCAGGAACACCAGUGGCGAAGGCGACUUGCUGGACUUGUAGUGACGCUGAGACGCGAAAGCGUGGGGAGCAAACAGGAUUAGAAACCCCGGUAGUCC
RNAcentral lists this ribosomal RNA (425 nucleotides) under uncultured bacterium. Its description in RNAcentral is "bacterial SSU rRNA". It matches the Rfam family "Bacterial small subunit ribosomal RNA", at positions 354 to 796 of the family's 1533-position model. The record is from RNAcentral.